GAUGAACGCUAGCGGCAGGCCUAACACAUGCAAGUCGAGGGGUAACAUAGAAAAGCUUGCUUUUCUGAUGACGACCGGCGCACGGGUGCGUAACGCGUAUACAACCUACCUUUUAGCGGGGAAUAGCCCAGGGAGACUUGGAUUAAUGCCCCAUAGUAUAUAGACUUCUCCUGAAGUUUAUAUUAAACAUUUAUGGCUAUUAGAUGGGUAUGCGUCCUAUUAGUUAGUUGGUAAGGUAACGGCUUACCAAGGCAGCGAUAGGUAGGGGUCCUGAGAGGGGGAUCCCCACACUGGUACUGAGACGCGGACCAGACUCCUACGGGAGGCAGCAGUGAGGAAUAUUGGACAAUGGGCGAGAGCCUGAUCCAGCCAUGCCGCGUGCAGGAAGACUGCCCUAUGGGUUGUAAACUGCUUUUACAGAGGAAGAACCACCCCCACGUGUGGGGGUUUGACGGUACUCUGCGAAUAAGGAUCGGCUAACUCCGCG
Molecule: ribosomal RNA, 487 nt
Filed under: uncultured bacterium
Lineage: Bacteria
Description: bacterial SSU rRNA
Rfam family: Bacterial small subunit ribosomal RNA
Source: RNAcentral